GACGAACGCUGGCGGCGUGCCUAAUACAUGCAAGUAGAACGCUGAAGGAGGAGCUUGCUUCUCUGGAUGAGUUGCGAACGGGUGAGUAACGCGUAGGUAACCUGCCUGGUAGCGGGGGAUAACUAUUGGAAACGAUAGCUAAUACCGCAUAAUAGUAGAUGUUGCAUGACAUUUGCUUAAAAGGUGCACUUGCAUCACUACCAGAUGGACCUGCGUUGUAUUAGCUAGUUGGUGGGGUAACGGCUCACCAAGGCGACGAUACAUAGCCGACCUGAGAGGGUGAUCGGCCACACUGGGACUGAGACACGGCCCAGACUCCUACGGGAGGCAGCAGUAGGGAAUCUUCGGCAAUGGACGGAAGUCUGACCGGGCAACGCCGCGUGAGUGAAGAAGGUUUUCGGAUCGUAAAGCUCUGUUGUAAGAGAAGAACGAGUGUGAGAGUGGAAAGUUCACACUGUGACGGUAUCUUACCAGAAAGGGACGGCUAACUACGUG
RNAcentral lists this ribosomal RNA (495 nucleotides) under uncultured bacterium. RNAcentral describes it as "partial 16S ribosomal RNA". It matches the Rfam family "Bacterial small subunit ribosomal RNA", at positions 28 to 507 of the family's 1533-position model. The record is from RNAcentral.